AUACGGAGGGUGCAAGCGUUAUCCGGAUUCAUUGGGUUUAAAGGGUUCGCAGGCGGCGUAUUAAGUCAGUGGUGAAAUCCCGAGGCUCAACCUCGGAACUGUCAUUGAUACUGGUAUGCUAGAGUAUAGUUGGCGUUGGCGGAAUGUAUCAUGUAGCGGUGAAAUGCUUAGAUAUGAUACAGAACACCGAUCGCGAAGGCAGCUAACGAAACUAUAACUGACGCUCAGGAACGAAAGCGCGGGGAGCGAACAGGAUUAGAAACCCCAGUAGUCC
RNAcentral lists this ribosomal RNA (274 nucleotides) under uncultured bacterium. RNAcentral describes it as "partial 16S ribosomal RNA". It matches the Rfam family "Bacterial small subunit ribosomal RNA", at positions 523 to 796 of the family's 1533-position model. The record is from RNAcentral.